GCUGCGGUAGGAUCAAGGGUAAUUCACUCCUCUCAUAAAGGAGAUCUUCUGUCAAGAAGAGUUCCGGGUUCGAUUCCCGGCCGCAGCG
This 88-nucleotide transfer RNA is filed under the name Candidatus Pacearchaeota archaeon. Its description in RNAcentral is "tRNA-Met". It matches the Rfam family "tRNA". Rfam says of the family: Transfer RNA (tRNA) molecules are approximately 80 nucleotides in length. Their secondary structure includes four short double-helical elements and three loops (D, anti-codon, and T loops). Lineage: Archaea; Nanobdellati. The record is from RNAcentral.